This 459-nucleotide ribosomal RNA is filed under the name uncultured bacterium. RNAcentral's name for it is "partial 16S ribosomal RNA". It matches the Rfam family "Bacterial small subunit ribosomal RNA", at positions 338 to 795 of the family's 1533-position model. The record is from RNAcentral.
CCUACGGGAGGCAGCAGUGAGGAAUAUUGGUCAAUGGGCGGAAGCCUGAACCAGCCAAGUAGCGUGCAGGAUGAAGGCCCUACGGGUCGUAAACCGCUUUUGCACGGGGAUAACACCCUCCACUUGUGGAGGUCUGCAGGUACCGUGCGAAUAAGGGCCGGCUAAUUCCGUGCCAGCAGCCGCGGUAAUCCGGAAUGCCCGAGCGUUAUCCGGAUUCAUUGGGCUUAAAGGGAGCGUAGGCGGGCGUGCAAGUCAGCUGUAAAAGCGCGCGGCUCAACCGCGCCCCGCAGUUGAAACUGGACGCCUUGAGUUCACAACAGGCAGGCGGAAUUCGUGGUGUAGCGGUGAAAUGCAUAGAUAUCACGAGGAACCCCGAUUGCGAAGGCAGCCUGCCGGGGUGCGACUGACGCUGAGGCUCGAAGGUGCGGGUAUCAAACAGGGUUAGAUACCCUAGUAGUC